This is a non-coding RNA of Mycena leptocephala, 95 nucleotides long. Lineage: Eukaryota; Fungi; Basidiomycota; Agaricomycetes; Agaricales; Mycenaceae. The record is from the annotation of a GenBank genome assembly.
GCGGAUGUGGUGCAUGGUGCACAGCUGCAGUCCAUAAAAUGUUGGUGUACCUAGUCAUUAAUGCAGCUGAUCGGGUUCGAUUCCCGGCAUCCGCA